RNAcentral lists this ribosomal RNA (441 nucleotides) under uncultured bacterium. Its description in RNAcentral is "partial 16S ribosomal RNA". It matches the Rfam family "Bacterial small subunit ribosomal RNA", at positions 338 to 795 of the family's 1533-position model. The record is from RNAcentral.
CCUACGGGAGGCAGCAGUGGGGAAUAUUGCACAAUGGGGGGAACCCUGAUGCAACGACGCCGCGUGGGUGAAGGAGUAUUUCGGUAUGUAAAGCCCUAUCAGCAGGGAAGAACCAUGACGGUACCUGACUAAGAAGCACCGGCUAAAUACGUGCCAGCAGCCGCGGUAAUACGGAUGGUGCAAGCGUUAUCCGGAUUUACUUGGUGUAAAGGGAGCGCAGGCGGCGCGUUAAGCCUGGUGUGAAAGUCCGCGGCCCAACCGCGGGACUGCAUUGGGAACUGGCGCGCUGGAGUGCCGGAGGGGUAGGCGGAAUUCCUAGUGUAGCGGUGAAAUGCGUAGAUAGUAGGAGGAACACCAGUGGCGAAGGCGGCCUACUGGACGGUGACUGACGCUGAGGCUCGAAAGCGUGGGGAGCAAACAGGAUUAGAUACCCUGGUAGUC